GGGUCUGCCUGCCGCCGGUCCGCGGUUCCCCCGAUUUGUUUUCUUAGUGGCGCUUUGAUGUGGGGUUUUUUCAGCGUGUCAGCGGCAGGGUGAACUCUGCGUUCCCACACACACACACACAGAGUCACAACAGCCACCCCGCAGCCAACAACAGCACCACCGCCGCCCCCAAAAGUGAUUUGGCAUCGUCGUGAGCGCUGGAAUAAAUUUCUCGGCUGGCGUGCUCACAGACAGCUCAGCAAAACAAGACUCGGGACAUCCGUCCUGAGCUUGGCAGUCUUCCUGAUGCAGAUGAGAGAGGAGGCUUGCUUUAGGACAAGUCUUCAGCCCCUGAGGUCUUCAUGAGAAGAACAGUGAUGUUGCUGUUGCAGGAUUCUAAUUCCUCAGUCUGGGCUGCACACAGUUAAAAUACU
Molecule: long non-coding RNA, 413 nt
Organism: Manacus vitellinus (golden-collared manakin)
Lineage: Eukaryota; Metazoa; Chordata; Aves; Passeriformes; Pipridae
Exons: 3
Source: RefSeq, a predicted model, not a curated record